AACGAACGCUGGCGGCAUGCCUAACACAUGCAAGUCGAACGAAGUCUUCGGACUUAGUGGCGCACGGGUGCGUAACGCGUGGGAAUCUGCCCUUGGGUUCGGAAUAACAGUGAGAAAUUACUGCUAAUACCGGAUGAUGACUUCGGUCCAAAGAUUUAUCGCCCAAGGAUGAGCCCGCGUAAGAUUAGCUAGUUGGUGAGGUAAAGGCUCACCAAGGCGACGAUCUUUAGCUGGUCUGAGAGGAUGAUCAGCCACACUGGGACUGAGACACGGCCCAGACUCCUACGGGAGGCAGCAGUGGGGAAUAUUGGACAAUGGGCGAAAGCCUGAUCCAGCAAUGCCGCGUGAGUGAUGAAGGCCUUAGGGUUGUAAAGCUCUUUUACC
RNAcentral lists this ribosomal RNA (384 nucleotides) under uncultured bacterium. RNAcentral's name for it is "bacterial SSU rRNA". It matches the Rfam family "Bacterial small subunit ribosomal RNA", at positions 29 to 440 of the family's 1533-position model. The record is from RNAcentral.